GCAUUGGUGGUUCAGUGGUAGAAUUCUCACCUGCCAUGCGGGAGACCCGGGUCCGAUUCCCGGCCAAUGCA
RNAcentral lists this transfer RNA (71 nucleotides) under Danionella translucida. It matches the Rfam family "tRNA". From Rfam's summary of the family: Transfer RNA (tRNA) molecules are approximately 80 nucleotides in length. Their secondary structure includes four short double-helical elements and three loops (D, anti-codon, and T loops). Lineage: Eukaryota; Metazoa; Chordata; Actinopteri; Cypriniformes; Danionidae. RNAcentral also lists the same sequence under 1 other name. The record is from Rfam by way of RNAcentral.